GAAGAUAUAUUAUUAUUAUUAUUAUCAUCAUUAUUACAUACAUAAGGUACAUAACACACAUAAAUAAAAGAAAGAAAAUUAAUUAAUUAAUUGUGAAAAAUAGAAACUAGUUAUUUAUUUAUUUAUUUCUCUAACUUAUUUCAGUCAAAUCAAACCAUAUUUGCUUGAAUACCUUGAUGAUAAUAUCAUGAUACUCAUCUGAAUUCAAACAAAGGUAACAAGCAAGAAGAUCUUCCAAAUCCUUGGAUGCCCUUAUGUUGUUCUCCACAAUCAUCUCCACCAUUGACUCUCUGAAAUCUUUGUGAGGAUUGAAAGAUGAUUUCACUAUUGCAAGACUACCGGAGAGGCUUCUCCUGUAGGCGCCGGAAGUUUCCGUCGAUGACACGCUUUUCCGGCGAUGAAACUGAACCUUCCUUGUAGCAAUUCUUGGAGAGUUUACACGAAGUUUCACUCCUGGUGAAUUAACAGAGUUAGAAGAGAGUAGUUUCUUUACAGAACAAUUUUUCUUCUUGUUCUUCUUUUGUUGUUGAUGUUGUUGUUGUUGUUCCUUCAAAAUUUUAAUCUUUAGAGACAUUUCUUUGAGGGGUUUGUGUUCUUUAUUGUUGGGUAGUUUUGUAAUGAUUGGAGGAAGUUGAAGUUUUGAAAAAGAAUCAUCAUACCCUUUAAGUUUAUCAUCUUUUCUAGCUAGAGAAUUUUUGUCAACAUCAAUAUCUUUGUUGUUGGAUUUGUUGCAGGGACAAGAAGAAAUGGAAAAUGAAACCAUUUCAUCGAAUGAUGAUUCAGUUGGAAUAAGAACACGGUCUGUUCUGAAUUCUGUUUCAGGGGAUUCUGACUCAGUUAAGCUAUCAAGUGAAGAAGAAGAAGAAGAAGAG
This 872-nucleotide long non-coding RNA is filed under the name Cicer arietinum (chickpea). Its description in RNAcentral is "long non-coding RNA (CARI_LNC001992)". The record is from RNAcentral. Lineage: Eukaryota; Viridiplantae; Streptophyta; Magnoliopsida; Fabales; Fabaceae.